RNAcentral lists this transfer RNA (71 nucleotides) under Hetaerina cruentata. RNAcentral describes it as "tRNA-Val". Lineage: Eukaryota; Metazoa; Arthropoda; Insecta; Odonata; Calopterygidae. The record is from RNAcentral.
AGUUUAUAGUUCUAUAAGGGAAUUUUCCACUUACACUGGAAGGGCUUCUGUGCAAUCCAGGAUUAACUGAU